Molecule: ribosomal RNA, 468 nt
Filed under: uncultured bacterium
Lineage: Bacteria
Description: partial 16S ribosomal RNA
Rfam family: Bacterial small subunit ribosomal RNA
Source: RNAcentral
GACGAACGCUGGCGGCGUGCUUAACACAUGCAAGUCGAACGGAAAGGCCCUGCUUUUGUGGGGUGCUCGAGUGGCGAACGGGUGAGUAACACGUGAGUAACCUUCCCUUUACUUUGGGAUAACUUCAGGAAACUGGGGCUAAUACCGGAUAGGAGCUCCUGCUGCAUGGUGGGGGUUGGAAAGUUUCGGCGGUUGGGGAUGGACUCGCGGCUUAUCAGCUUGUUGGUGGGGUAGUGGCUUACCCAGGCUUUGACGGGUAGCCGGCCUGAGAGGGUGACCGGCCACAUUGGGACUGAGAUACGGCCCAGACUCCUACGGGAGGCAGCAGUGGGGAAUAUUGCACAAUGGGCGGAAGCCUGAUGCAGCAACGCCGCGUGCGGGAUGACGGCCUUCGGGUUGUAAACCGCUUUCGCCUGUGACGAAGCGUGAGUGACGGUAAUGGGUAAAGAAGCACCGGCUAACUACGUG